Molecule: non-coding RNA, 1926 nt
Organism: Larimichthys crocea (large yellow croaker)
Lineage: Eukaryota; Metazoa; Chordata; Actinopteri; Sciaenidae
Source: the annotation of a RefSeq genome assembly
UAAAAACUUCGCAUCAGGCUGUCAGUGGAGUUCACAGCUCGUCACUUUCAACAUAAACCAUGUUUUCUGUAGCUCUGCUGCUGCUGUUGGCAGCUGGAUGUGUGAAGUGUGAACAGUUGACACAGCCAGCCUCUGUGACUGUGCAGCCAGGACAGCGUCUGACCAUCACCUGUCAGGUCUCUUAUGCUCUUAGCGGCUACUACACUGCUUGGAUCAGACAGCCUGCAGGGAAAGGACUGGAGUGGAUUGGAAUGAGAUAUACUGGAGCUGCAUAUUACAAAGAUUCACUAAAGAACAAGUUCAGCAUUGACUUAGACACUUCCAGCAAAACAGUGACUCUAAACGGACAGAAUGUGCAGCCUGAAGACACUGCUGUGUAUUACUGUGCCAGAUAUAACAACGAUGCUUUUGACUACUGGGGAAAAGGCACAAUGGUCACAGUUACAUCAGCCACUCCAUCUGGACCAACUGUGUUUCCUCUGUCGCAAUGUGGUUCUGGGACAGACAACACGAUCACUCUUGCCUGUUAUGCCACCGGCUUCACACCCGCCUCACUGACCUAUGCAUGGACCAAAGAGGGGACUGCCUGGACAAACUCUAUUCAGUACCCUCCUGUACAGAAAGACAGCCUUUAUUCUGGAAUCAGUCAAAUCCAAGUGAGCAAACAGGACUGGGAUGCAAGGAAGCCUUUCCAAUGUGUCGUGACACAUGCAGCAGGAAGUGGAGUCUGUUAUUUUCCUCCCAUUAUAGAAGUGGUUUAUCAAUUGCCAACUCUUAGUGUGUUGGCCUCCUCCUCUGAUAACAAAAGCGAGGCUUCCUUCUCCUGCUUUGCUAAAGAUUUUUCACCAAAAGAUCACAAACUGACAUGGCUGAAAGAUAAUGAGGACAUCACCAACAAAAUAUACGAGAUCACAACACCUGUUGUGGAAAGAACGGAUGAGAGCGGAAAUACUGUAUACAGUGUGGCAAGUUUUCUCAGUGUACUGUCUGAUGGCUUGAGUCAGGGCACUCAGUUUACAUGUCUGUUUGAGGGGAAAGGUGAAGGCGGCAUUAAAACAUAUGUGAAUGAAUCUGUGAGCUACGGUUGUCCAAACACACCCCAAUGUCCUGGAGGAGAUUCGGACAUAACUAUCAUUGGCCCUGCAAAUGAGGACAUGUUUAUGAGCGGAAAAGGAAAGAUAGUAUGUCAAGUCCUGGAAAACAAACCAUCUGUUCUGAGUGUUUUGUGGCAGGACGAGAAUGGACACACCUUGAUUGAGUACUCAAAGUCCACCGAUAAUGGAAAAAAAGUAAUAAAUCUUGCACUUGACAUCACAUAUGAUGAAUGGAACCAGGGGAUCAAGCGCUACUGUGUUGUUGAACACUCAGAGUGGCUUGAGCCAGUCAAGAAAAUCUAUGAAAGGAGUAUUGGACAGACUCAGCGUCCUUCAGUGUUUAUGAUGCCUCCAGUAGAACAUACUAGAAAAGAAAUGGUGACCCUGACUUGCUUUGUGAAAGACUUCUUCCCUCAGGAAGUUUAUGUGUCUUGGCUUGUUGAUGAUGAAGAAGUAGAUUCAACUUACGAGUUCCAUACCACAAACGCUGUCGAAAGCUACGGAUCCUAUUCUGCUUAUAGCCAGUUAUUACUCAGCCUUCAGCAGUGGAAAAGGAAUGAUGUGGUGUAUAGCUGUGUAGUUCACCACGAGUCUGUGGAUAACACAACUAAAGCUAUUGUCAGGUCUAUUGGAUACAGAACAUUUGAGAAAAACACCAACCUGGUCAACCUCAACAUGAACGUCCCUAACACGUGCAAGCCCCAGUAGAUGUUUUUUGUGUUGUUGUGUCUUCUGCUGUUUGAUGUUUAAUGUUUGUUGCUUGUGAUAUGACAUUGUGUUUGUCUUUUUCAUGCAGAUUUAAAAUCAAAAUAAAAAAAAAAGCACUUUGCAA